Molecule: ribosomal RNA, 466 nt
Filed under: uncultured bacterium
Lineage: Bacteria
Description: partial 16S ribosomal RNA
Rfam family: Bacterial small subunit ribosomal RNA
Source: RNAcentral
GAUGAACGCUGGCGGCGUGCUUAACACAUGCAAGUCGAACGAUGAAGCCCAGCUUGCUGGGUGGAUUAGUGGCGAACGGGUGAGUAACACGUGAGUAACCUGCCCUUAACUCUGGGAUAAGCCUGGGAAACUGGGUCUAAUACCGGAUAGGAGCGCCUACCGCAGGGUGGGGGUUGGAAAGAUUUAUCGGUUUUGGAUGGACUCGCGGCCUAUCAGCUUGUUGGUGAGGUAAUGGCUCACCAAGGCGACGACGGGUAGCCGGCCUGAGAGGGUGACCGGCCACACUGGGACUGAGACACGGCCCAGACUCCUACGGGAGGCAGCAGUGGGGAAUAUUGCACAAUGGGCGAAAGCCUGAUGCAGCGACGCCGCGUGAGGGAUGACGGCCUUCGGGUUGUAAACCUCUUUCAGUAGGGAAGAAGCGAAAGUGACGGUACCUGCAGAAGAAGCACCGGCUAACUACGUG